CCACGUGGUCGAGUACCACCAGG
RNAcentral lists this non-coding RNA (23 nucleotides) under Arabidopsis thaliana (thale cress). The record is from RNAcentral. Lineage: Eukaryota; Viridiplantae; Streptophyta; Magnoliopsida; Brassicales; Brassicaceae.